UUUGGCCUUCAACACUGGGGUUCUGAUUCGAAAGGAGUAGACACAACCAGACACUUUUUGUUGGAGUGGCUUAGCUACACAUGUCGGUACAUUCCAGUUGGCCUGUUAGAUAUUAUCCCACAGAAAAUAAAUUGGCGAUCACCCUCAUACUACGGCAGGGAUGAACUAGAGACACUAAUGGCCUCUGAUUCUGCUGCUGACUGGGUAAGGAUCUCCGAGCUGGUACUCGGGAAGGUUCCUUCUGGCUAUUCGUUUGCACCAAAACACAAGUCCAAUGCUUAUGACAGAGCAGAGAACGGCUAAAGACCAUUUUGUUAUUACUGAUUCUAAUUUUUGCUGAGCUCCUCUCAUGAUCAGUGGCUUAUUUAUCAUCAAGUACGAGAUCGAUAUGUCGAUUCAUAAUAGCUUACUGUUGGGGCUUUUAUAUAAGCCCUUACGAUUUUG
RNAcentral lists this unclassified non-coding RNA (444 nucleotides) under Hevea brasiliensis (rubber tree). The record is from RNAcentral. Lineage: Eukaryota; Viridiplantae; Streptophyta; Magnoliopsida; Malpighiales; Euphorbiaceae.